ACUCAAAGGAAUAGACGGGGACCCGCACAAGCAGCGGAGCGUGUGGUUUAAUUCGAUGCUACACGAAGAACCUUACCCAGGUUUGACAUACUAGUGGUAGUGAACUGAAAGGGGAACGACCCGCAAGGGAGCUAGUACAGGUGUUGCAUGGCUGUCGUCAGCUCGUGUCGUGAGAUGUUGGUUUAAGUACCCUAACGAGCGCAACCCUUAUUGCCAGUUACACGUAUCUGGCGAGACUGCCGGCCACAAGCCGGAGGAAGGCGAGGAUGACGUCAAGUCAGCAUGGCCUUUAUAUCUGGGGCUACACACACGCUACAAUGGGCGUAACAAUGGGAUGCCAAGCCGCGAGGCGGAGCCAAUCCCCCAAAUACGUCCUCAGUUCAGAUUGCAGGCUGCAACCCGCCUGCAUGAAGUCGGAGUUGCUAGUAAACGCGCGUCAGCUAUAGUGCGUUGAAUACGUUCCCGGGUCUUGUACACACCGCCCGU
This 486-nucleotide ribosomal RNA is filed under the name uncultured bacterium. RNAcentral describes it as "bacterial SSU rRNA". It matches the Rfam family "Bacterial small subunit ribosomal RNA", at positions 899 to 1397 of the family's 1533-position model. The record is from RNAcentral.